This 221-nucleotide ribosomal RNA is filed under the name uncultured Staphylococcus sp. RNAcentral's name for it is "partial 16S ribosomal RNA". It matches the Rfam family "Bacterial small subunit ribosomal RNA", at positions 119 to 334 of the family's 1533-position model. The record is from RNAcentral. Lineage: Bacteria; Bacillati; Bacillota; Bacilli; Caryophanales; Staphylococcaceae.
GGAUAACCUACCUAUAAGACUGGGAUAACUUCGGGAAACCGGAGCUAAUACCGGAUAAUAUAUUGAACCGCAUGGUUCAAUAGUGAAAGACGGUUUUGCUGUCACUUAUAGAUGGAUCCGCGCCGCAUUAGCUAGUUGGUAAGGUAACGGCUUACCAAGGCAACGAUGCGUAGCCGACCUGAGAGGGUGAUUGGCCACACUGGAACUGAGACACGGUCCAG